AGAGUUUGAUCAUGGCUCAGAAUGAACGCUGGCGGUGUGCUUAACACAUGCAAGUCGAGCGAGGCCUGGGGGGCAACUCCCAGAGUCGAGCGGCGGACGGGUGAGUAACACGUGGGUAACCUGCCCGGAAGUGGGGAAUACCUCGGGGAAACUCGAGCUAAUACCGCAUGACAUCUUUGGGACGAAAGUCCCGACGAUCAAAGCGGGGUCGCAAGAUCUCGCGCUACCGGAUGGGCCCGCGCCCGAUUAGCUAGUUGGUGAGGUAAUGGCUCACCAAGGCUUCGAUCGGUAACCGGCCUGAGAGGGCGAUCGGUCACACCGGAACUGAGACACGGUCCGGACUCCUACGGGAGGCAGCAGUCGGGAAUUUUGCGCAAUGGGCGAAAGCCUGACGCAGCAACGCCGCGUGAGGGAUGAAGGCCUUCGGGUUGUAAACCUCUUUUGUCAGGGACGAUGAUGACGGUACCUGACGAAUAAGCCACGGCUAACUACGUGCCAGCAGCCGCGGUAAUAC
RNAcentral lists this ribosomal RNA (514 nucleotides) under uncultured bacterium. Its description in RNAcentral is "bacterial SSU rRNA". It matches the Rfam family "Bacterial small subunit ribosomal RNA", at positions 8 to 526 of the family's 1533-position model. The record is from RNAcentral.